UUUCCGUAGGUGAACCUGCGGAAGGAUCAUUAAGGUGAGUACCGUGUGCGGUGGAUAUAACAACUGCUGGAAAGUCGGACUUGGGCCGGCAGGCCCAAUGAGGAUAAAGAUAAACCAGAUAUGAUAUAUUUGAUGAUAAUUUGAGAAAAGACAACUUUUAACAAUGGAUCUCUUGGCUCUU
This 181-nucleotide unclassified non-coding RNA is filed under the name plant metagenome. RNAcentral describes it as "partial contains small subunit ribosomal RNA, internal transcribed spacer 1, and 5.8S ribosomal RNA". The record is from RNAcentral.